UAGUUGGGUAUCGACUACUGUAGUGUG
RNAcentral lists this small RNA (27 nucleotides) under Bombyx mori (domestic silkworm). RNAcentral describes it as "ovarian small RNA-23181". Lineage: Eukaryota; Metazoa; Arthropoda; Insecta; Lepidoptera; Bombycidae. The record is from RNAcentral.